GCCAGGUGCAGUGGCACGUGCCUGUAGUCCCAGCUACUCGGGAGGCUGAGGUGGGAGGAUCGCUUGAGCCCAAGAGUUCUGGGCUGUAGUGCGCCAUGCCGAUCGGAUGUCUGCCCUAAAUUUGGCAUCAAUAUGGUGACCUCCCAGGAGCAGGGGACCACCAGAUUGCCCAAGGAGGGGUGAACCAGCCCAGGCCAGAAACAGAGCAGGUCAGAACUCCUGUGCUGAUCAGUAGUGGGAUUGUGCCUAUGAAUAGCCACUGCACUCCAGCCUGGGCAACAUAGAAAGACCCCAUCUCU
RNAcentral lists this signal recognition particle RNA (299 nucleotides) under Cebus imitator (Panamanian white-faced capuchin). RNAcentral's name for it is "Metazoan signal recognition particle RNA (ENSCCAG00000005727.1)". It matches the Rfam family "Metazoan signal recognition particle RNA". From Rfam's summary of the family: The signal recognition particle (SRP) is a universally conserved ribonucleoprotein. It is involved in the co-translational targeting of proteins to membranes. Lineage: Eukaryota; Metazoa; Chordata; Mammalia; Primates; Cebidae. The record is from RNAcentral.